CCCUUAGAUGUUCUGGGCUGCACGCGUGCUACACUGACGCAUACAGCGAGCACUUUCCAGUUCCGAGAGGCUACUGGUAAUCAUCAAUAUGCGUCGUGAUGGGGAUAGAUCUUUGGAAUUCUGGAUCUUGAACGAGGAAUGCCUAGUAAUCGCAGGUCAUUAGCCUGCGAUGAUUAAGUCCCUGCCCUUUGUACACACCGCCCGUCGCUACUACCGAUUUCGAGUGGUCAGGUGAAUCUUUCGGACUGUGGGCGCCCUUGAGGUGUUCGCGGAAAGUCAGGUAAAUCUUAUCACUUAGAGGAAGUAAAAGUCGUAACA
This 318-nucleotide ribosomal RNA is filed under the name uncultured eukaryote. RNAcentral's name for it is "partial 18S ribosomal RNA". It matches the Rfam family "Eukaryotic small subunit ribosomal RNA", at positions 1470 to 1796 of the family's 1831-position model. The record is from RNAcentral.